RNAcentral lists this ribosomal RNA (435 nucleotides) under uncultured bacterium. Its description in RNAcentral is "partial 16S ribosomal RNA". It matches the Rfam family "Bacterial small subunit ribosomal RNA", at positions 28 to 507 of the family's 1533-position model. The record is from RNAcentral.
GAUGAACGCUGGCGGUAUGCUUAACACAUGCAAGUCGAACGGACUCUUCGGAGUUAGUGGCGGACGGGUGAGUAACGCGUGAGAAUCUGGCUUUGGGUUCGGGACAACCACUGGAAACGGUGGCUAAUACCGGAUGUGCCGAGAGGUAAAAGAGAAAUUGCCUGAAGAUGAGCUCGCGUCUGAUUAGCUAGUUGGUGAGGUAAAGGCUCACCAAGGCAGCGAUCAGUAGCUGGUCUGAGGGGAUGACCAGCCACACUGGGACUGAGACACGGCCCAGACUCCUACGGGAGGCAGCAGUGGGGAAUUGUCCGAAAUGGGCGAAAGCCUGACGGAGCAAUACCGCGUGAGGGAAGAAGGCUCUUGGGGUGUAAACCUCUUUUCUUAGGGAAGAACAAAAUGACGGUACCUAAGGAAUCAGCAUCGGCUAACUCCGUG